UGAUCUUGGGNUUCCAGUUGAACGCUGGCGGCAGGCCUAACACAUGCAAGUCGAGCGGUAGAGAGAAGCUUGCUUCUCUUGAGAGCGGCGGACGGGUGAGUAAUGCCUAGGAAUCUGCCUGGUAGUGGGGGAUAACGUUCGGAAACGGACGCUAAUACCGCAUACGUCCUACGGGAGAAAGCAGGGGACCUUCGGGCCUUGCGCUAUCAGAUGAGCCUAGGUCGGAUUAGCUAGUUGGUGAGGUAAUGGCUCACCAAGGCGACGAUCCGUAACUGGUCUGAGAGGAUGAUCAGUCACACUGGAACUGAGACACGGUCCAGACUCCUACGGGAGGCAGCAGUGGGGAAUAUUGGACAAUGGGCGAAAGCCUGAUCCAGCCAUGCCGCGUGUGUGAAGAAGGUCUUCGGAUUGUAAAGCACUUUAAGUUGGGAGGAAGGGCAGUUACCUAAUACGUGAUUGUUUUGACGUUACCGACAGAAUAAGCACCGGCUAACUCUGUGCCACGCC
Molecule: ribosomal RNA, 507 nt
Filed under: Pseudomonas marginalis
Lineage: Bacteria; Pseudomonadati; Pseudomonadota; Gammaproteobacteria; Pseudomonadales; Pseudomonadaceae
Description: bacterial SSU rRNA
Rfam family: Bacterial small subunit ribosomal RNA
Source: RNAcentral